CAAAAAGGCGUCAGCAACAGACACACACAGGUAAAAGCUGAUAACCAUGCAAACCAUUCCCGUGACGCACAAACUCUCAGUGUGAUGUGCGAAUUUUCCAAGGUCGUGGACGGGAGCAAAAAAAAUGCAAAAAUAUGAAAUAAAAUUACCAAGGUAAAUUUGGUGAGUUUCGAUAUCCAUCUCUUCUUUCUGUUUUCGAUUCUUGUCUCAGAAUAUAAUUACAGGAAAAAAUUUAAUAUGCUGCAGUGGUAUACAGAAAUUAGUUCUAACCGCUUCCGAAUCGAGUAGGCCGAACAUACAGCGUGAAACGUCCUGAAAUUUGGGAACUUUGAAAUUUGAUAUGUGAUAUACAAUUUACGCAAUAAUGGAAUAUUUUAACGCAAAUGAUUUCGCCAAGGAUUUAUACUACUAACUACAGAGGGACUUCUUUGAUGGAUUGAAAAUAAAACUACGUGUAUAUACUCAACACUUUCAUUUCUUUUUUAACAGUCUAUAAAAUAUUGUGUAUAUGGCGCAACGGAACACCAAAUGUGUGAACGUUUUUGUUUUAAUAGUUAUUGUAGUAUAUACGAAAUUUAUAUUCGCAUCGUGUAAAUUUGAAAUAUACCAAUAAAAUAAAACAAAGGAUUAAUAUGAGAAUAAAUAAUACAUCUAGAAUUAAA
Stomoxys calcitrans (stable fly) is the source of this 662-nucleotide long non-coding RNA. RefSeq lists it as uncharacterized. The transcript has 2 exons. The record is from RefSeq and is a predicted model, not a curated record. NCBI's taxonomy places the organism in Eukaryota, Metazoa, Arthropoda, Insecta, Diptera, Muscidae.